AUGUCGCCCUUUCUCACUCAUACGCACGCUCAAUGAUCUCUGAAGCACCAAUUGCUCUUCGCUUUGGCUCUCUGCAUCUCACCAGAGUAAUACAGGAAGAUUUUUGUAGUAUUUCUACUUGCUGGAUGAUACUGAAAUAAUUAUUGGGAGUUUGAAGAAUUUCUGGUUUGUAUGAUAUAUUUGCUAAAAGACCCAAAAUUUUGAAGCAGAGCGGCGGUAUUUGAUAAGAAAAUCAUCUGAUGAGUCAAUGGAGUCGUCAUCGCCUCCAAAGGAGAACGAAAAAAGCUCGAAACAAGCUUGCGUAGAAAUCAACUUGGAAGAUCUUGCUGUUGAUCCCGGGCUGCGCACUCGAAUUUGGGAUUAGCAUCCCAGUUCAAGUUCGAGAGUAAGUUCGAAGAGCAUAUAUACAAAAGGGUCCUUUUCAGAGUCGAGACCAUGACUUCCCCAGCAAGAAUACUAGUGAGGGACCGAGAAAGUUUAUAUCUGCUUGGUUUAUGAUUUUCCGACUUGGUUGGUAUUGUCUAUGUUGUUAUCUGUUUAAGCUAAAUACAGGAGAGCAAGC
Molecule: small RNA, 562 nt
Filed under: Malus domestica (apple)
Lineage: Eukaryota; Viridiplantae; Streptophyta; Magnoliopsida; Rosales; Rosaceae
Description: sRNA MD11G0069900
Source: RNAcentral